CCUGAACACCUGGAUCCUGAACACCUGGAUCCUGAACACCUGGGCUGUGUCUGAAAUCACUCCCUAUCCACUAUGUAGUGGACACGCCAUUUUGUAGUGCAGUCCGAAUUCUGAGGACUGAUGACGAUGUAGCCCAGCUGAUCCGGCUGAGGAGGGAGAAGGACCACCCCUUCAGCGGGAGGCGGUUUGCUGCUGCUGCAGGAUGGGAAACUUUGCUGAAAGACAUGCUGCUGUCUGAUCGAGUCAGUCCUGCUCGGGCGGCUAAAAAGUGGGAGAACUUGAAGAAAACGUACAAG
Molecule: non-coding RNA, 296 nt
Organism: Labrus bergylta (ballan wrasse)
Lineage: Eukaryota; Metazoa; Chordata; Actinopteri; Labriformes; Labridae
Source: RefSeq, a predicted model, not a curated record